CUCUUUUGAAAUCGUUGAUUAUU
RNAcentral lists this small nuclear RNA (23 nucleotides) under Arabidopsis thaliana (thale cress). Its description in RNAcentral is "snRNA_05505". Lineage: Eukaryota; Viridiplantae; Streptophyta; Magnoliopsida; Brassicales; Brassicaceae. The record is from RNAcentral.